GUCAGACACAUUCAAUCUGACAUACAUUUUUUAUUCUUUAUGAAUCUUUAUUUUUGUUGUGCAUGGAAUAACAGUAGGCUUGCUCAGCCACAACAGCAGCCGCAGGCAGAGUGAUAACAGGCAUUAUAUGUAUGACAUGGCAUGUAAAUAGACAGUACAAUUGUUUAGUUUAUAGUAACAGGAGGGAUAGACAGUGGAGAGACAAAACAUAUAGAGUUGAGCGGACACCUGGAUGUUCGGGUCCGGCGGGUUCGGCCGAACUUUGAAAAAAAAAGUCUGGGUUAGGGCUCGAACUUGACCCCGAACCUGAACCCUAUUGAAGUCAAUGGGGACAUGAACUUUUGGGCACAAAAAUGGCUCUAAAAAACUCUUGGAAAGGGCUAGAGGGCUGCAAAAGGAAGUAAAAUGGGGGUAAGAGUAGGACAAGUGCCCUGCAAAUAAAUGUGGAUAGGGAAAUCACUUAAAAAUAACAUAACAUAAGCACGGUAUUAGGGAGCUAUCUACCAAAAGGCUGAAAGACCUAAAUUGGUAACCUAAAUUGGUCUUUCAGCCACAUUUACUAAUACUAAGUAAAGAUUACUUAGUAUUAGUAAAUUCAGCCCCUACUCACUAUACCGCGAGUAGGGUCGUGUCUAGUAAACAGUGAGCAGCCAGUAGCUGCUUCCUCAAUAAGUGAGGGAGUUCUGCGGCUGGGCUCGCUUCUGGGAUACCUCUGAUCUUUUUUUUUUUUUAAAUAAAUUCUUUGUUUGUUAAGUCUUCAAUUU
Pelobates cultripes (western spadefoot toad) is the source of this 764-nucleotide non-coding RNA. The record is from the annotation of a GenBank genome assembly. Lineage: Eukaryota; Metazoa; Chordata; Amphibia; Anura; Pelobatidae.